This 489-nucleotide ribosomal RNA is filed under the name Triticum aestivum (bread wheat). RNAcentral's name for it is "partial small subunit ribosomal RNA". The record is from RNAcentral. Lineage: Eukaryota; Viridiplantae; Streptophyta; Magnoliopsida; Poales; Poaceae.
CUGGAUCCACCACAUCAUCAAGGCAACUUGAACGUUAUGGAGUUUGGUGAACGUUGGGCGUCUCACCAUAAUGCUCCACUGCCCAACCUUUUCGUCUCGUAUGCUUUAGCCCAUAAGGCACCGUACAGAACAGCCACGCCUUACGAUGAGAAUGACACAGCGUCCGCGUACUCCAGCAAGACCGCAUACGAUCGGAUGGAGAAAUUUAAAGGGGUGGCAAAAGAGUUGAAAGGGCCUGAGUAUGAUGUGACAACAGAGCCUCUUGACCACGCGUUGGUCAUGAUCUCUGGAGAAGGUAGGAAACAUGGCAAGGAAGCAAUUGCAGGAGGCAUGUUCCCUAGUUCCUCCCGUAGCUCUCUCCCUGAAUACAAAGCUCGGUUAGGUAUCUCAAAAUCUUCUACAUGUAAACGCUCGACUCCAGCUAUGGUUGAGAUGGAGGCCCGACUGGCGGAGGAGAGGCGACUGGCUGAUGAGAGGAUGCAGCAAGCG